Molecule: RNA transcript, 7273 nt
Organism: Zonotrichia albicollis (white-throated sparrow)
Lineage: Eukaryota; Metazoa; Chordata; Aves; Passeriformes; Passerellidae
Gene: AADAT
Gene name: aminoadipate aminotransferase
Source: RefSeq, a predicted model, not a curated record
CACGCCCACAGUGGGGCUAAUCUGGCCCAUGCCCACAGCGGGGCCGCCGCUGCCCCCUGUCCGGCCGCCGGCUCCUUGCCCUCCGCCGAUAUGAAUUACUCUAGGUUCAUCACCACUGUGAGUGCAGCAAGAAAAGCAUCUCCAAUAAGACUGCUGACUGAAUUGAUGCAGAAGUCUCCUCCAUCUCUUAUCUCUCUGGCUGGAGGGGCACCAAAUCCUAAUGUCUUUCCAUUUAAGAGGGCAACAGUUGACAUUGGACAUGGAACACCUAUUGAGAUUGGGGAAGAUCUGAUGAAGAGAGCUCUCCAGUACUCAGCCUCAGCAGGCAUCCCAGAGCUGUUGUCUUGGCUGAAGGAUUUCCAGCGGAACUUACACGAUCCCCCCACAGCCAAUUACAGCCCUGAGCAAGGACAGAUGGAAGUGUGUGUCACAACUGGCAGCCAGGAAGGCUUGUGUAAAGUGUUUGAAAUGCUCAUUAAUCCUGGAGACAACAUCCUUUUGGAUGCACCCACAUACUCGGGGACACUAGCAGCUUUGAGACCCUUGGGUUGUAAUAUAAUUAAUAUUCCUAGUGACCAACACGGCAUUAUUCCAAGAGCUUUAAAAGAAAUUCUGUCUGCAUGGAGCCCAGAGGAUGUAAAAAAUUGUAGCAAUCACCUCCCCAAAUUCCUGUACACUAUUCCAAAUGGAUGCAACCCAACUGGCAACUCGCUGACCGCAGAGCGCAAAAAGGAGAUUUACCAGCUUGCAAGAAAAUAUGAUUUUCUCAUAAUAGAAGAUGAUCCUUACUACUUUCUUCAAUUUGAAAAGCCAUGGGCUCCAACUUUCCUCUCAAUGGAUGUGGAUGGCCGAGUUAUCAGGACCGACUCUUUCUCUAAAAUUCUCUCAUCUGGUUUAAGAAUUGGUUUUCUGACGGGUCCCAAGCCUCUCAUUGACAGAGUUGUUCUACACAUUCAGGUGUCAACAAUGCACACCAGCACUUUCACACAGAUUAUGAUAUCACAGCUCCUUCAGCAAUGGGGACAAAAGGGUUUCUUGGAGCACAUAGACAGAGUGGUGGACUUCUACAGGAUCCAGCGGGAUGCAAUGCUCACUGCUGCUGACAAGUGGUUAAAAGACUUGGCAGAAUGGUACCCUCCUGCUGCUGGCAUGUUCUUAUGGAUCAAAAUUAAGGGUAUUUCUGAUACACAGCAGCUGAUAAUGGAAAAGGCUUUGAAGAAAGAAGUAUUACUGGUUCCUGGAGGAGCAUUCAAUAUUGAUAGUUCAGAGCCUAGUUCUUAUGUCAGAGCCUCCUUCUCUCUACCUUCUCCUGCCCAGAUGGAUCUGGCCUUCAAGAGACUGGCUGACCUUAUAAAAGAAUCUUUGUGAAAAAGCUAAAUAGAGCUCUUGUAGUAAUAAAAAUCAUCUCCAGAAAAUAGUUAUUAACAUUUGGAUUUCAUCAGAACACGUUAUAAGCAAGCACAAUACAGUGGAUGUUUCCUUACAUCUUUUCAGCUGCAAAGAGAAUAUUAUCCGUUUCAUCUUUUGUGAUUCAAAGAGGUAAAAAUUCUUUUCUGAAUUUCCUAGUAUUUGGUGGGGGAAGAGAGUGAAGAUAGGAGUAUACAUCCUUCCUUUAGGAAUCUAAACCAGGAACCCCUGUAUCACUUCCAUGCUAGAAGGGUUAUGUCUCCAGUCACUCUGAGGGCAGUGGAGAAGGAGGUGCAUCUGGAUCAGGAGGCUGCAUUGCUCUGGGUCCCCUAGCUGCACUCAAGGCCCCAUCUCUGCCCAGCAAGGAGACACAGGCCUGGCAGGAGAACCUGCUGAGCCAGGCUCCCAUCCUGCCCCAGCCUCCUGUGCUGCACAGUCUGAGCACAGAACUGUGACAGGCAUUCAGGUGAGCCUAAAUAAAGCAGCUGCACACUGCAUGCUCAAAUUAACCUGCCACAGUGCCUCUCACAUGCUUAAGCAGACCGACUGUGAAAUGGCAUCUGCCUUAAAAGCCUUACUAUGGCAGAGCAUCAGAGUUGUCACUGAAUCACAAUGCCUGUCAUUUGUACAUCCCUUCAUAAGCAAUUCCUAAAAACAUCUCCCACACCAGACCUACUGCAAGAGCUGGUCCUAUGUUUUCAUUUCAAUUCUAUUUGAAGCACAGGGCAGGAAAUGGGGAAAACCCAUCAAUACAGUACCCCUUAUAACAGUAAUUAUGAGAAGUUAUUAAUAUUUAUAAAGCUUUUUAAACAGGCUUAUUUACUAGAUGUGGCUCUGGGAAUUCAUCUACAAAAAUGUCAAUUUAUGAAGGCAACAAUGUACAUAUCUUCAUCUGAAUUAUUCACAUUGGUUGAUACAAUUAAUCUUUUUCCUAGCUGAGGUUUAAAAUUGGAUCAGAUGAAUUGUAUUACUAAGGUUCUUUUUUCCUUCUGUUGCCAGUGACUCACUUUAGUACAGAGGACUUUAUUUUAGUUAUCAAAAGCUUGGUGAAUAAAAGCCCAUCUUUUAAAGUUCUUUUCAUGACCUUAUAUUGUUUCAUGUCAUGCUGGAUCUCCUGCUAGAGAUGUAUGUUAGUGGCAGCCUAGUGGAAGAUUUUAGAAAUUCAUGCAUGUUUUUUUCUUCAUUAAUGACAGCAGAUAAUAGCAGGUUUGGUAUUAAUACAACUCACUCAUUUAUAACUUUAUUUUCCCCUUCAUGCCUUAAGCACUAAUAUUUCUGUUAGUGGAAGCUGAGGGCCUGAAAAAUCUGCUAUUUUUCCUCUUGGAUAAACACUGCUCCAGAAUAGUGAUGAGGAAAUAACUCCACAGUGUUCAGACAGCUGUGGUUCCCAGCACUCUGGGAAAUAUCCUUCUCAUGGUGCAACUGUAUUCUAGUCACAUUGCUAACUUCAUACACUCAACCCAUCAUCUUUGCUGCUAAGGGUACUUUUCUACAGCAGGCCUAAAGAGUUCACUUUUCUACUUAGCUGAGAUUUAUUAAAAAUAAAAUUGGGCUUUUAGUUUAUCCCAACAUUUUGAUUAUCAGCACAGUUCUAUGAAUGCAGAUCUCAGAGAAUAUCUUGGCCCUUUCAUACAGAAGAGUACCAAUGUGCUCUCCCACAUAUUCCAGCUUCACUUUCUUGCAUAAGAUUAAACAGCAGCAGGGUUACAGUGCUGUCAAAGGCAGAAAAUGUGGAAGCAAUAUUUUGCUAGCAAAGGAAAAUUUUAAAGGAGAAAAGCUUUUUAUGUUAAGUCUUAUCAACACUAAGAAUAUGGUCCACAUAGCUGUGUUAGAAGAGCAUGAAUAUGUAGAAUCUUGGUGUGUUCAGAUGAAAAGAAAAAAUGGGCUAGAAAGCAAUGAGUGGUCUCGAACUGAAGUGUCAUUCACCACUCCAUUGAAGAAGGGGAAAGAUUAAAUAUUUUAGCAAGUCUCCAGGUGAUAAUAUUUAGGUAGAGCUUAGCCUGUAGAACUGCUGGCCUGCCUCUCAAAAUGUAGACAAGAUUACUAACUGAGAAAGCAACAUUCAAAUUAUUCAGCAGUCAUACUGAUGUUUCUUGUUUGGGUACCAUUAUUCCAACCCUUUCAUACAUUAAGAGUCUUCCUGAAGCAUGUAGUUAGGUGAUGCAUUUGUAUUAUACAUAAAAUUUUAAUUUUCCAUUGCCAAAACCAGCAUAGGCACAUAAAAGUUCAAGUAACAAUAAACAUGUCAUAGUGCUACUGAAUAUGAACUGCCCUGGGUGAACAGAUGCAUCAUCAUGUUUUUCAGGAGAAAGUGUUUGGAUUUACAUUGUAUUUACGGGCCUUAGUUCUCCACUCAGUCUUAUCAGCAAAAUAAGAUUUUAUUUUCUCCACCAGAUAGUAUCAAACCAGGUCUGGAUUUCUUUGGUUUGAGGUGGUAAUAAGUCAAUUGCUGAAACAGCUAUGACUUCAGGAAGGUGGUUUUACACACGUAUUUAUUGCAUUUAUCGCAUUUAUCAUUCACUGAAGUUAUGCUCUGACCUACCUUAUCCCAGGAGCUUUUCAAGUGAAUUUACAAGCAGCUGCCACCUUUUUUUUAAUUCUUGUCUUUGUCUGCUUUCUGAUGCUGAGCUCUGGUAAGUAUCAUCUGUUAAUAUCUAACAGUAUGGGGUGUUAACCAGCAUGCAUUUCAGGACCCAGGUUCAAUAUUUACAAAAUCAGUGGUCCUUUAUCAGCACAUAUCUCUGUUUCCAGCCCAAGGAUUACACCACUUUGCUGUCUAGUUUAUACAGACAGGUGAAGCAGCCAGGAAAAGUGAUUGAGAGAAGAGCAAAGGUAAUCAUGGAAAGAGAAAACCUAAUUAAAUGCUUUAUGGGAAAGGUUCCAAAACAUGGAGCUAGCAUCCACUGCAGUAUACCUAAAGCAGAAGCAGAUAGGAUGUUUUUUGCCAAUUGAUUUGUGAGUGAUGGAUCAGGUUUAUUGAAAACAAAGAAGCAGUCAUCCUGUUAACAAGAGAGGAAUUAUCCUAUUGAGAAAGAAAAAGAACAGAACAGUGAGAGCACAGAGCAUCCAGGCAAUGGGAAGCUUUAGGAGUCCCAUCAGUGAGAAAUAGCCAAUGUCAUGAAGCCUGAAGUGAGGCCAUAUGGGAUCUAUUUCAUUAGACUGUUGAAGUGAAAAGAUAUUCACUCUCUGGGUUGUGAAACUAAUAAAUACAAAUUUAAGUUCCAGUUUUAAUUCUCCAGAAUAUUUUUCAGAAAAUUUAGCAAAUGCCUUCAUAAACUUAAGGACUGGGCUCAUAAUAAAAUAAUGUAACUUAUUCCAGUUAGAAAGAAACACACAAAAUGUCCAGUAAAAGAAACCAGAUUUCUGCACCCUAUAAGUGUUGCAGAAAUUAAAAUUAUCCUUUUUUGAAGUGCUUAUGGAGAGCUUUUGCCUUGCAGUUCUUGAUAAAGGAAGAUGGAGAGACCAAUUCAGCACAUGGUGGGUCUAUAAGGCAUAAUCUAGUUUAAAUUGUACCACAUCAUAAGACUAAAAUUUAAAAUGUCAUGAAAAUUCAUCUUUUUCCUCCUGUAGAAAAUUCUAGACACAAACCACAGUGAAGACAACAUCUGAACACUGAGAGACAGUAGCUGACACUGCUGAAUGCACAACUUUCUCCAGCAAGGUCAUGGACACGCUGGAAAAUUUUGCUUCUAUAAAUUUUAUUGACUUUCAGUUUCUGAUAACACUAAGUGAAAGCACACUGAACUCUGGCAUUGUGCCACAAGAGACUAUUUAAUUCUGACAGCCAAACCCCACAGUUUGCUGAGUCACAGAAAACUCACAGUAAUAAGUCUGUGUAAAUGAAAGGCACCUUUUGUCAAAGACAACUUUGUAAUGUAACUUUGACCAGACUUCAGUUUAUUUUCUGUCCUUCCUACAGGGGAAUAUAAUCAGAAUAUAACUUUCAGAGAAAAAUGCAGGUUCUGUAUGUGAAAUUGUUUGAAAACCUUCCAGUUUCCCCUGGCUCAUAACCAUUCCUUAGUUUCCCUAGUGUCUCUAUGGGGAAAGGAAUAAAACAGCUCCAGGAGUAAUACAAUUUAAUUCCACUUGUUCUUGUUGCAUGGUCACAGGUCACACACUGUCAGUAUGCUUUGGUGGAAUGAAGAAAAUGUAGAAUAUAGUGACUUUAUAAAUACAUUUUCCUUUUUGCUUGCACGACUUUGAUUUCCUUAUGACAGAGGGUGACCCAAAUUGUAUUCCUCAGUAGGAAUAGAUAACACUGUGAGAAACAGCUACUGCCCAGAGGUGUGCAGCUCCGUCACCAGAUGCAACCAGGCUGUAAAGUUUCUCCAGUGACCAGCAUCCUGUGAUUCCCCAGGGCCCAGAAAGAUACAAUGCUUGACACACAGGGAAGCUGCUGAAAGGUCACACUCACAGUAACACCUCACCAGGUACCAGAAACCAGCCUGACAGAGAAGCCCCUCUUCACCUGGAGCACAAGGUCACUCCACAGGAAUAGAAGGACACUACAGAAGGACUACACACUGAUGAACUCCAGGACAAUUUUUAAACCUUUCUGAACAUGGCAGUUUGGGAGAUUACAGCAGGGAGCCCAUCCUGAAAGGGACACUCUGCUAUGCAUCUUCAGUAAACUCCUCACAUGAAAAUGUGGGCUGGUCAGAGGCAAAGAGUAGAGAGCCUCAGUCACCCAGGUGGUCACAGAUUCUAAGUGAUACCUGCAGUUUUCCCAGAAGCUCUCAGAGAAGUCUGCAGGCAGGAGCCAGGCAUGUAAAAUCAGUCUGCAGUGCUCACAAGGCUGGCAACUCAUCUGCAGCAGGGACGUCACGGGGAUCUGAAGGCAAAUCACCCUGGGCUCUGCCAAGGGCUCUCCUGCUGUCUCUUAGCUUUGUGAGGAAAUAAAACACUUCAAACAGCAGGAGCCUCACAGAGAGAGCAGCAACUGAAGGGACCAAACCUCAGGGUCACUCAGGUGAUGGGAAGUGACUGUGCUCUGCUACCUUCACCUCUCUGCAGGUUUGGCAGAGAAAAACUGUCCUUCCAUUGGAAUGGUUUCAAGGAUUACAAAUAAGGAAACACUCAAAACACCCCAGCUGAUCAUGAAAGAAGCCACAGAGACAGGGGUGAGUAAAAACUGUCCACUCGGGGAAAAAAAAUAUUUUUCAUGUAGUUUAACCUAUAUUGUGAAUUUCUAAUGUUCUGAAUAUGCUAUGAGUCAAGGGAUGUUUUCUUUCAGAAGACAAUGAAAUUUCAAGGCCUGUGAAGGAGAAAUCACAUGGUUACUAUGAUGGCUUGGAUCUGAUCCAUUAUUUGCAUGGAAUUUCCCUUGGGAAUAUAAUAUAAUAAAAUUCCAAUAAAUGUGAUGGACAUGGAAGAUAUCCACAAAGAGAAAUGCCUGUCUCCCCAGAACGUAUAAAAUGCCAGGAUGGGUGAAUCUUUGUAUCAAUCUCUUUCAUCUUCAAGAUUAGCAAGACUAGGGUGUGAACUUUUAGCAGUUUUAGAGUUUCUACAAUAAAACAUGUGAAACUCUAGAAGAAACAUGAAUAUAUAUUAACAGGACACCAUGAACCAGCAAAAUCUGAGUAACAACACACAUAUCCAAAAAUGCUGUCCCCAGCACAGUACUUCCACCAGCUUCUUUCAGUCCCAGUAAAACCUGGCCUGUACCUAAGUAUGAGAAUUGUAUUUACUCAAACCAUAUAUAAUUUCAAGUAGUGUAAUCUUGUUGGGUUUUGUAUUCUGUUGUUGACAUCUUACUUCAAAAGUUCCAUACCUUCUUGGUGAUUUUAUCACGUGCAGCUCCACACAACACUGACUCCCUCUUCAGCACAGCCAACAAACUCCCUCUCCCUCCUCACCCAGCUACCCC